This 133-nucleotide small nucleolar RNA is filed under the name Vulpes vulpes (red fox). RNAcentral describes it as "Small nucleolar RNA SNORA42/SNORA80 family (ENSVVUG00000005735.1)". Lineage: Eukaryota; Metazoa; Chordata; Mammalia; Carnivora; Canidae. The record is from RNAcentral.
ACAGGUGAUGGAUUGAUGGUAGGCCUUUCUCUGUGGGCCUCAUAGUGUUGCUAUGGCAGAGGAGCAUGCAGCCCUGAACCACUGCCCAGCCUCCUGGCUGGCGGGCUGUGAACGCUGGAGGGGCUAUAUGAUU